RNAcentral lists this ribosomal RNA (301 nucleotides) under uncultured bacterium. RNAcentral describes it as "partial 16S ribosomal RNA". It matches the Rfam family "Bacterial small subunit ribosomal RNA", at positions 509 to 807 of the family's 1533-position model. The record is from RNAcentral.
CAGUCGCCGCGGUAAAACGGAGGGGGCUAGCGUUGUUCGGAAUUACUGGGCGUAAAGCGCACGUAGGCGGCUUGGUAAGUUAGAGGUGAAAGCCUGGAGCUCAACUCCAGAAUUGCCUUUAAGACUGCCGAGCUAGCAGGUGAGAGAGGUAAGUGGAAUUCCGAGUGUAGAGGUGAAAUUCGUAGAUAUUCGGAAGAACACCAGUGGCGAAGGCGGCUUACUGGCUCAUACUGGACGCUGAGGUGCGAAAGCGUGGGGAGCAAACAGGAUUAGAUACCCCUGUAGUCCCUGUCUCUUAUAC